AUUGAACGCUGGCGGCAGGCCUAACACAUGCAAGUCGAGCGGCAGCGGAAGGAAGCUUGCUCCCUUGCCGGCGAGCGGCGGACGGGUGAGUAAGGUAUGGGGAUCUGGCCGAAGGCGGGGGAUAACCACUGGAAACGGUGGCGAAUACCGCAUAAUCUCUAAGGAGCAAAAUGGGGGACCGUUCAGGCCUCACACCUUCGGAUGAACCCAUAUGAAAUUGGCUAGUAGGUGGGGUAAUGGCUCACCUAGGCGACGAACUCUAGCUGGUCUGAGAGGAUGAUCAGCCACACUGGGACUGAGACACGGCCCAGACUCCUACGGGAGGCAGCAGUGGGGAAUAUUGCACAAUGGGCGCAAGCCUGAUGCAGCCAUGCCGCGUGUAUGAAGAAGGCCUUCGGGUUGUAAAGUACUUUCAGUCGUGAGGAAGGUGUUAAGGUUAAUAACCUUAGCAAUUGACGUUAGCGACAGAAGAAGCACCGGCUAACUCCGUGCCAGCCGCCGCCGUAA
RNAcentral lists this ribosomal RNA (507 nucleotides) under uncultured bacterium. RNAcentral's name for it is "partial 16S ribosomal RNA". It matches the Rfam family "Bacterial small subunit ribosomal RNA", at positions 30 to 523 of the family's 1533-position model. The record is from RNAcentral.